CUUUAUUUUUUCACAAAUACUGCUUAAAAGCCAGGCUUGCUUUCCUGCCUUAAGGAGGUGCAGUAGAACUUAGAAGCCACCAGAUGUCACUAUUGCAGAUAGCAUUCCAAAUUCCCCAGCUUGCAUCUGAUACCAUCAGUGCAGUACGAGUUGACAGGCUCCAAGAAGUCAUCUAAACUGUCCCUCCUGACAGGAAGCCACAGUGAACAGAGAUGGGGUCUCACUUUGUUGUCCGACUGGUCUUGAACUCCUGGCCUCGAGCGAUCCUCCCACCUCAGCCUCCUGAGCAGCUGGGACCAGAGCUGCUGUCACUCAAUUGGAAAAAGAAUGAUGAAUAAUUUUAAAUGAUUUUCCUACAGGAACUCAUUAUACAAUGACAAAUGGAGGCAGCAUUAACAGUUCUACACAUUUACUGGAUCUUUUGGAUGAACCAAUUCCAGGUGUUGGUACAUAUGAUGAUUUCCAUACUAUUGACUGGGUGCAAGAAAAAUGUAAAGACAGAGAAAGGCAUAGAUGGGCUGGAGUGCAGUGGCGUGAUCUUGGCUGACUGCAACCUCCACCUCCUGGGUUCAAGCAAUUCUCCUGCCUCAGCCUCCUGAGUAGCUGGGACUACCGACGUGCAUCACCAUGCC
RNAcentral lists this long non-coding RNA (632 nucleotides) under Homo sapiens (human). RNAcentral describes it as "HSALNT0351232". The record is from RNAcentral. Lineage: Eukaryota; Metazoa; Chordata; Mammalia; Primates; Hominidae.